UCCUAGCUGGUUCUAUCUAGUGGGGGGCCUGGUCUUGGCUUCCAAAAUGGCACCUUAAGUGCUAUGUCCUCGGGUGGCAGGAGGAAUGACAGGAAUAGACUGGACUCCCUCUCAAGUCCUAAUCCCACCCACAAGGACACCUCUCUAAUGACCUAGUCUCCUCCUUGGGGCCCCACCUCUUCAUACUGUCACAUGGCCAAAUGAGCACAGCUGACAGUGAUCGGGAAUGCUGGCCUAGACAACACCAGGCCAGAAAGAAGGGAGGACACCUUCAAGCACCCCCUCCCCUAAUUGUAGUGGGUAGCCAUUCCAGCUUUGACCUGGAAGUACCACCCCCUUUGAGGUUCGGUAACUAUCACGCCUACAAGGCGGGGCUGAGAGAGAACCCCUGAAGACCAGCUCUCUUGGUUCCUGGAUCCUGGACACUGGAGGUAGACUGAGCAGAGUUCUCCAGAGAACACCGCCGGACUGCGCCACACCUUUCCCAGACCCUGUAACCUAUCCCUUCACUUGUAAGUUAUCCCACAAAAUAAACCUCCCUUUUAACUA
Molecule: long non-coding RNA, 549 nt
Organism: Peromyscus eremicus (cactus mouse)
Lineage: Eukaryota; Metazoa; Chordata; Mammalia; Rodentia; Cricetidae
Exons: 2
Source: RefSeq, a predicted model, not a curated record